This is a transfer RNA of Daphnia magna, 69 nucleotides long. It matches the Rfam family "tRNA". Rfam says of the family: Transfer RNA (tRNA) molecules are approximately 80 nucleotides in length. Their secondary structure includes four short double-helical elements and three loops (D, anti-codon, and T loops). NCBI's taxonomy places the organism in Eukaryota, Metazoa, Arthropoda, Branchiopoda, Diplostraca, Daphniidae. The record is from Rfam.
GGUUCUAUGGUGGAACAAGCAAUUCAAACUCCGACUCUGAUAAUCUGAGUUCAAAUCUCGGUAGAACCU